GAUUGAACGCUGGCGGCAUGCUUUACACAUGCAAGUCGAACGGUAACAGGCCUUCGGGUGCUGACGAGUGGCGAACGGGUGAGUAAUGCAUCGGAACGUACCCAGAGGUGGGGAAUAACGCAGCGAAAGCUGUGCUAAUACCGCAUGUGAUCUGAGGAUGAAAGCGGGGGACCGAGCAGCAAUGUUUGGCCUCGCGCCUUUGGAGCGGCCGAUGUCGGAUUAGCUAGUUGGUGGGGUAAAGGCCUACCAAGGCGACGAUCCGUAGCUGGUCUGAGAGGACGACCAGCCACACUGGGACUGAGACACGGCCCAGACUCCUACGGGAGGCAGCAGUGGGGAAUUUUGGACAAUGGGCGCAAGCCUGAUCCAGCAAUGCCGCGUGCGGGAAGAAGGCCUUCGGGUUGUAAACCGCUUUUGGCAGGAACGAAACGGUGUCCGCUAAUACCGGGCGCUAAUGACGGUACCUGCAGAAUAAGCACCGGCUAACUACGUG
Molecule: ribosomal RNA, 493 nt
Filed under: uncultured bacterium
Lineage: Bacteria
Description: partial 16S ribosomal RNA
Rfam family: Bacterial small subunit ribosomal RNA
Source: RNAcentral